AGGGGCAUAGCUCAAGUGGUAGAGCACAUACUUUGCAUGCAUGAGGUCCUGGGUUCAAUCCCCGGUACCUCCU
RNAcentral lists this transfer RNA (73 nucleotides) under Camelus bactrianus (Bactrian camel). It matches the Rfam family "tRNA". Rfam says of the family: Transfer RNA (tRNA) molecules are approximately 80 nucleotides in length. Their secondary structure includes four short double-helical elements and three loops (D, anti-codon, and T loops). The record is from Rfam by way of RNAcentral. RNAcentral also lists the same sequence under 2 other names. Lineage: Eukaryota; Metazoa; Chordata; Mammalia; Artiodactyla; Camelidae.